This 907-nucleotide long non-coding RNA is filed under the name Eucalyptus grandis. Its description in RNAcentral is "long non-coding RNA (EGRA_LNC007076)". Lineage: Eukaryota; Viridiplantae; Streptophyta; Magnoliopsida; Myrtales; Myrtaceae. The record is from RNAcentral.
UGAAUUUUCCAAACAUCGUAACUUUCAUUGAAUUUACUCUCUUGAAAAAAAUGCAAAAAAAGAAAAGGAGGAUCACAUAACAAAAAUCCAUAAUACAAAAUUCUAUAACAUUAAAUAAAAUAAGCCAAAUGGCUUUUGAAGCCCGACACUAGUUGAUGGAACGACUAUACAUCUCUUUCAACUUCACCAUCUUCACAGCUCACAAGUUCAGGCCCCAUACGCUCAGUUCACAAGCUUAGCAAAUUCCACGCAAGAAGAACAUGCUCUAUUUCUAUCAAAUAUCAAAACAAACACUCGAUGUGCAAACUUAGAGAGCUAGUAUGCUCAUGCAGAACACUCCCGUGUGGUCAGGAUCGUCUCAAUGAAGAAGAGGUUGGCAUCACCUGAGUCCUGACAACCCUCAAAUCAAAUCACGCCUGAAAAAUUCAACUGCCAAAAAAGAUAAUCCCGCUAAUUUCUAUGUUCCAAAACAGAGCACAGAGAAAAAUUACUUCGUUGACAGAAAAAUUCGAUGACAGGAACAAUCCUGAGACGGGCUGGAGCUCUUUUCGGUACACCUGCAAUGUCUUCAAUUGUUCUUCCUCUUGAAUGAAGCACUGUCAUCAUCUUGUCCUGCAAGAACUUUAUAUUUUGAUGUGUUAAAACAAAAGCAUCAGGCCUCCGAUUCCAACAGCUUCAAAAGAACCAGAUCUCGACCAUCAAAUCAAGUACUAUUAGCGCCAUAAAAUUUUUGCAGAGAAAUAAAGCAAUUAUUCACAAAAGUAUCGCGUCUUACAUUACUCAAAAUCAGAAAAUCCGGAGAGAGGAUGACAUGAAAACCAGUUCUCCAGGACAAAAAAGUUUAGCGAAGACAAAUUUUGAUGAACUCAAUACGUGAAAAAAUAACCCCAAAAAAGGGGAAAACAAU